GCGACCCCAGUCAGGCGGGACUACCCGCUGAGUUUAA
Molecule: ribosomal RNA, 37 nt
Filed under: Artemisia annua (sweet wormwood)
Lineage: Eukaryota; Viridiplantae; Streptophyta; Magnoliopsida; Asterales; Asteraceae
Description: partial 28S ribosomal RNA
Source: RNAcentral